This is a long non-coding RNA of Gorilla gorilla gorilla (western lowland gorilla), 3307 nucleotides long. RefSeq lists it as uncharacterized. NCBI's taxonomy places the organism in Eukaryota, Metazoa, Chordata, Mammalia, Primates, Hominidae. The record is from RefSeq and is a predicted model, not a curated record. The transcript has 3 exons.
CACUAAGUUGAGAGAGAACACCAGUCACAUGGGUUCUGUCACCUCCUCAAACACCACAAGUGCUUGCUGCUGGCAGGCAGCUAGACACAGCAUGGGGACUAAAGGAUCUCUACCUCUGUGAGUGUCUAAUGAAGGAAUGUGACUUCCCAAGCCUGAAUGACCAGCCUCUAAAGCAGCUGGAAGGGAAGCAGCUGGCAGCAGGAUCCCAUGGAUAUUAAGCGCCCUUCCAAUAACCUUAUAACCCUGCCAAGAAAUCAGUGUCACCAGACACCACCUAAAAAUGGAAGAUUAAUUCAGCCACAAAUUAGGACCUUUACUCCACCUCAGUCCCCCAAAUCCUCAUGUGCACAGGAAGAGGUUCUAGUCCUCUGUAACAUAUCCCAAACAAAGCCAGCUGGACUCAGGCUUCUUUCUUAGGGCAAUAGAAGCAAGAGCUGCUAGAAGAAACAGGCCAGCAUGGAAUAUCUGUUGGGACCUUUGUUAUCUCCAGGUAACUUCUGAUCUCAUAAAGAACACACUCAAAGGCUACCCACAUCACCAUUUGCUACAAAAGAACAGAAAUCCUUUACAAUGCUCUGUAGCCACAUUAUUUGGUAGACCAAAAUAACAAGGCCCAGACACAUGUUAUUCCCAUGGUUUCAAAGCCUCUUUGGCCUUUAGCGGUUUUCCCUCAGCCUGCCCACAAUCCCACUCCUUAUUAGAACUUUCCUACUCCAUUUUUCCCCCUCUUCUCUUUAAAAACAGCCUUGUAGCAUUCCAUAAAGGUUUCUUAUAAAUGAUAAAUACUGUAAUGUUGGGGACAGAAAAUGGGCUCAGACCUGAAUUGAAUCCCUAACUCCACUACUUGCUGUGUGACCUUGGUCAAGUUACUUUACCUCUGUAAGCUUCAUGAUCCUCUCCAUGCAGCGUUUGAGAUGAUGUAUAUAUUAAAGUACCUCACACAUAGUAGUUGUUCAAAUGAUAGUUUCCUUUUCCUUUACCUUGAACCUAGUACUUAAAUAUUUGUUGAAGGAAUUAACUCCUGAGGAAGGAGCUUGGGAAAGAGCCGACAGGGAUUAUUGCACAGGACUUCUCAGCCUUGAAUGUUCUAAUGUAUACUUUGACUCUCAAAGAGGAGUGAAGGUGUAACAUUUUCCCAAUUUAUUUGACCACAGAAUCCUGACUUUGAGGAACACUUAGUACCUUCUUAAUGAACACAGUGUUCCAUAAAACAUGGGAACCCACCAGAAAUAGCCCUCAGGCCUGCCCAACUCUGAGACCUUUCACUGAUGGCCAGAGAAAGUGAGGACCUUGGGAAACAAAUCACACAGUCUGAUAUCUCCCCACAUACCCAGUGGAGCCCCUGACUUACCAGAAAUGGCAUCAGGCUCAGGUUUGCUCCCUGGCAGAUCCUCCACAGAUGUGCUGCUGCCCUCAGCACCAACACCGCAUCCCCGAGGCCCCAUGGCACUGGAGCGCCGCCGCUCGUGGAUCUCAUCUGAGAUCAUCUCCAGGUUCUUCAGGGCCAUCUUGUACUCGCCUUUUGCCAGGGUCAGUUUGGCCUGCAGGUCAUCCACGGUCUUUUUCAGUUGCUGAUCAAGAGAACAGGAGACUAAGUGAAGACUACCCUGCUAGCCUUAAGAUGCUUUCUGAAUGACAGGUUCAAGUACAUUUUCUGCCCAUCAUUCCACUUCAAGGAAUUUUCCAAGACAUGACUGAAGACCUAAUUACCAUUAUAACUGCUAUUCAUUCACCAGACAAAAUCAGCCACCACCAUCCCCAGAUCCCAUCCAGGUGACAACCUCUAAUAUCCAAAAACUCUCACUGGUGGAAUAAACCCCAUCAGGGAAGCAAAAAUGGGCAUCAGACACACCAAAGUCCCACAGUCUAGACAUCUGGUUCCCAGCACAGUGGUUCUCAAAGUUGAGCUUGCAUCAAAAUCCCCUUGGGUGUUAAGACUCAGCUCACUAGACUCCAAACUCAAGAGUUUCUAAUUCAGUCGGUCUAGAGUGGGACCUGGUCUAUCAGGUCUCCAGGUGAUGCUGAUGCUGCUGGUCCUAAGAGCAUGCUGUGAGAACCACUGGCCUAGUACAACAGAGAAAGUGACUGAAUGGCAGUUACAGAGGUUCAGAGACCACUGAAGACCCAACCGAGACAAUUUUGAGGUCUGAAAACUCAGUAAAGCCUGUCUCUCCACUUUCCCCUUAUAGCAAGUGGCCCAUGUGAUAUUCUGCUACCCCAGAAAAGUGAAGCUUUGAGUGCAGAAAAAUCUCAUCAGUGACGAAGCCCAAAGCUACACAUACCUCGAGCUGCACAUAGUACUUUGCCUUGAGUUCAAAAUAAGGCCUGCAGAAGACAGGAAGGAAAGCCAUCAGAGUAAUAUAAUACAGUGACCACAAUCAACUCCACAAGAUGAACAAGAGGCAUCAGCUACCACUGGCCAGGUCGUCCUUCCAAUAUUUAGUAAACUCUUAACAAGGCCAUGACAUGUCAAUGAUGCUCCUAGCUCUGGAGACUGACAGACACCAGAUGGAACGACUGGGCUCACCCAGGGCUAUAUUAACAGGAGGCCCAUCUCAAGACACGGGGAACCCACACACACAUAUCUUGGGGACUCUGCAACUUAGCUCAUGUUCCUCCUCUGUGGGAAGGCUGUUCAGAGCCUCACAGGUUAUACCCAGCAGUAAGGGUGGCCUGGAUCUGCUCUCCUAAUGAAGUUGGCUCCCCAGGGAUGAAGAGCAGCUGAGGCUGGAGAAGGGGCUGCUUAAACCUCCUCCUCUACUGAAGUCAACUGGGGAAGAGAGAGAAGCACCACUCCUCCCUCACAGCACAGCAAGGCCACCACUAGGAGGGGGUCUCAGGUUGGUCCUCCCGAACCUUGUCCAAAGACUGGAGUUAUUAGUUGGCUGACUCAGCCACAUAAUGGGCCCAAGAAAUGCCAGCAUCCUAGCAGUUCCCUUGGUUCUGGGUCAGCUGAAAGAGCUUGGCUCUUUUUUAGGAACUUUGGUGCCUGAACAUUAAGAGUAGAUCACUGCUUUAUUCUUGAGCCAUUCACCCUCCAUGAAGCUCUCAAGUCCUGCAUCCUGAGGAUCCAGAUGGAUGACAAGGACACAGGACUGCCAUUGAGAAAUGAAGAUGAACUGUGUCACAGAUGCAGUGGAUUACUGACUGCUCUUGUAAUAGUCCAUUUUGUAUCUGUUGGUAAUUCAUUGAGGCAUUCUUGGUUUUCUAUGAGUUUGUAUUUUUUGAAUUCAAGAAUUGUAACAUCACUGUUAGAUCCCUCCUUAUUUAAUGAGAGAAAUAAAAUAUUUGACAUGAGAAAAUUUUA